UUAAGGAAAUAAGAGCGUAUGGUGGAUGCCUUGGCACUAGGAGCCGAUGAAGGACGUGACGAACUACGAAAAGCUACGGGGAGUUGUAAGUAAGCAGAGAUCCGUAGGUAUCCGAAUGGGGAAACCCGGCAACAGAAGGUUGUCACACAUUUAUGUGGGGGAACGCAGUGAACUGAAACAUCUUAGUAGCUGCAGGAAAAGAAAACAACAGUGAUUUCUAGAGUAGCGGCGAGCGAAAUAGAAGGAGCCCAUUUACCUAAGAGUUACAAAACCUUAUUAUAGUAGAACUGUAUUGGAAAAGCAGACCAAAGAGGGUGAAAGUCCCGUAAACGAAAUAGUAAGGACUCGGGUAAAGAAGAGUACGGCGAGGCACGUGGAACCUUGUCGGAACAAGGGAGGACCAUCUCCCAAGGCUAAAUACUACCUAGUGACCGAUAGUGAACCAGUACCGUGAGGGAAAGGUGAAAAGAACCCUGGGAAGGGAGUGAAAUAGAACUUGAAACCAUAUGCUUACAACAAGUUAGAGCCCGUUAAUGGGUGAUAGCGUGCCUUUUGUAGAAUGAACCGGCGAGUUAUGAUGACGUGCAAGGUUAAGCUUUAAGGAGUGGAGCCGAAGCGAAAGCGAGUCUUAAUAGGGCGAUAAGUAGGUUGUUGUAGACCCGAAACCGUGCGAGCUAGGCAUGAGCAGGUUGAAGUUGCGGUAACACGCAAUGGAGGACCGAACCGUAGUCCGUUGAAAAGGGCCCGGAUGACUUGUGUCUAGGGGAGAAAUUCCAAUCGAGCUCGGAGAUAGCUGGUUCUCACCGAAAUAGCUUUAGGGCUAGCGUCGACGUAAAGUGUGUUGGGGGUAAAGCACUGAAUGUAUAAUGGCCUCAUCUAGGGGUACUGAAUACAAUUAAACUCUGAAUACCAACAUAUAUAGUCGGCAGUCAGACUACGGGUGAUAAGGUCCGUGGUCAAAAGGGAAACAGCCCAGACCGCCAGUUAAGGUCCCGAAAUUUAUGCUAAGUGGGAAAGGAAGUGGAUCCGUCUAGACAUCUAGGAGGUUGGCUCAGAAGCAGCCAUCCUUAAAAGAGUGCGUAACAGCUCACUAGUCGAAUAGAUCUGCGCCGAAGAUGUACCGGGGCUAAGCAUAAUACCGAAACUGCGGAAUUUAUACUUUUUAGUAUGGAUUGGUAGGUGAGCGUUCUAACAGCGUAGAAGGUAGACCGUGAGGACUAUUGGAGUGGUUAGAAGUGAGAAUGCCGGUAUGAGUAACGAAAAGAUGGGUGAGAAUCCCAUCCGUCAAAAGUCCAAGGUUUCCAGGGGAAGGUUCGUCCGCCCUGGGUUAGUCUGGGCCUAAGGUGAGGCUGAAGAGCGUAGCCGAUGGAUAAUAGGUUAAUAUUCCUAUACUACUUAAUGCACAGAAGGAGUGACGGAGAAAGAUAACCGGAGCAGACUGGAGGAAUAGUCUGUUUAAGGUAACGAGGGAGAGAUGUAGGUAAAUCCGCAUUUCACAUAUCCUGAGUACUGACGACGAAAGUCUGGUGAAUCUCAGCUUCCAAGAAAAGCUUCUAUGGUUAAUGUAUUAAGUACCAGUACCGUAAACCGACACAGGUGGACGAGCAGAGAAUGUAAAGACGCGCGAGAUAACCCUUGUUAAGGAACUCGGCAAAAUGACCCCGUAAGUUCGCGAGAAGGGGAACUUUAAGCAAUUAAAGUCGCAGAGAAACGACCCAAGCAACUGUUUACCAAAAACACAGGUUUCUGCUAAAUCGUAAGAUGAAGUAUAGGAGCUGACACCUGCCCAGUGCUGGAAGGUUAAGAGGAGAUGUUAGAGUAAUCGAAGCAUUGAAUUGAAGCCCCAGUGAACGGCGGCCGUAACUAUAACGGUCCUAAGGUAGCGAAAUUCCUUGACAGGUAAGUUCUGUCCCGCACGAAUGGUGUAAUGACUUGGGUACUGUCUCAACAAG
Molecule: ribosomal RNA, 1952 nt
Filed under: marine sediment metagenome
Description: bacterial LSU rRNA
Rfam family: Bacterial large subunit ribosomal RNA
Source: RNAcentral